UGCGGAGCUACACUGCUGUUAAGCGCCCUUCGGGUGAGCGGCGGACGGGUAUAGUAACGCGUGAGAACGUGCCCUUCUCUACGGAAUAGCCUCUGGAAACGGAGAGUAAUACCGUAUACGCCCUUUGGGGGAAAGAUUAUCGGAGAAGGAUCGGCCCGCGUUAGAUUAGGUAGUUGGUGGGGUAACGGCCUACCAAGCCUACGAUCUAUAGCUGGUUUUAGAGGAUGAUCAGCAACACUGGGACUGAGACACGGCCCAGACUCCUACGGGAGGCAGCAGUGGGGAAUCUUAGACAAUGGGGG
RNAcentral lists this ribosomal RNA (302 nucleotides) under uncultured Ruegeria sp. RNAcentral's name for it is "bacterial SSU rRNA". It matches the Rfam family "Bacterial small subunit ribosomal RNA", at positions 60 to 377 of the family's 1533-position model. The record is from RNAcentral. Lineage: Bacteria; Pseudomonadati; Pseudomonadota; Alphaproteobacteria; Rhodobacterales; Roseobacteraceae.